This 305-nucleotide ribosomal RNA is filed under the name uncultured bacterium. RNAcentral's name for it is "bacterial SSU rRNA". It matches the Rfam family "Bacterial small subunit ribosomal RNA", at positions 338 to 660 of the family's 1533-position model. The record is from RNAcentral.
CCUACGGGGGGCAGCAGUGGGGGAUAUUGCACAAUGGGGGAAACCCUGAUGCAGCGACGCCGCGUGGGUGAAGAAGCGCCUCGGCGCGUAAAGCCCUGUCAGCAGGGAAGAAAAUGACGGUACCUGAAGAAGAAGCCCCGGCUAACUACGUGCCAGCAGCCGCGGUAAUACGUAGGGGGCAAGCGUUAUCCGGAUUUACUGGGUGUAAAGGGGGCGCAGACGGCGAUGCAAGCCAGGAGUGUGAGCCCGGGGCCCAACCCCGGGACUGCUCUUGGAACUGCGUGGCUAGAGUGCAGGAGGGGCAG